UUCGCAAUGCCCGAAAGGGUGACGAAGCGACGCCGCGUGUGGGAAGAAGGCCUUCGGGUUGUAAACCACUGUCGGGAGUUAAGAAAUGCAAGGAUAUUAAUAGUGUCUUUGUUUGACUAAGGCUCCGGAGGAAGCCACGGCUAACUCUGUGCCAGCAGCCGCGGUAAUACAGAGGCGGCAAGCGUUGUUCGGAAUUAUUGGGCGUAAAGAGCACGUAGGCGGCUAUGUAAGUCGGUUGUGAAAGCCUUCCGCUCAACGGAAGAACAGCAUCCGGUACUACAUGGCUUGAGUGCGGGAGGGGAGAGUGGAACUUCUGGUGGAGCGGUGAAAUGCGUAGAUAUCAGAAGGAACGCCGGCGGCGAAAGCGGCUCUCUGGCCCAUAACUGACGCUGAGUGUGCGAAAGCUAGGGGAGCAAACGGGAUUAGAUACCCCGGUAGUCCUAGCCGUAAACGAUGGGCACUAAGUAGAGGGGUUUUA
This 478-nucleotide ribosomal RNA is filed under the name uncultured Planctomycetales bacterium. Its description in RNAcentral is "bacterial SSU rRNA". It matches the Rfam family "Bacterial small subunit ribosomal RNA", at positions 365 to 833 of the family's 1533-position model. The record is from RNAcentral. Lineage: Bacteria; Pseudomonadati; Planctomycetota; Planctomycetia; Planctomycetales.